RNAcentral lists this non-coding RNA (46 nucleotides) under Schistosoma mansoni. The record is from RNAcentral. Lineage: Eukaryota; Metazoa; Platyhelminthes; Trematoda; Strigeidida; Schistosomatidae.
GCACUGCUGAGGCGUCCAGCAACAGGACGAAACGGCCGUCCAGUGC